Molecule: ribosomal RNA, 1346 nt
Filed under: uncultured bacterium
Lineage: Bacteria
Description: bacterial SSU rRNA
Rfam family: Bacterial small subunit ribosomal RNA
Source: RNAcentral
GACGAACGCUGGCGGCGUGCUUAACACAUGCAAGUCGAACGGAAAGGCCCUGCUUUUGUGGGGUGCUCGAGUGGCGAACGGGUGUGUAACACGUGAGUAACCUGCCCUUGACUUUGGGAUAACUUCAGGAAACUGGGGCUAAUACCGGAUAGGAGCUCCUGCUGCAUGGUGGGGGUUGGAAAGUUUCGGCGGUUGGGGAUGGACUCGCGGCUUAUCAGCUUGUUGGUGGGGUAGUGGCUUACCAAGGCUUUGACGGGUAGCCGGCCUGAGAGGGUGACCGGCCACAUUGGGACUGAGAUACGGCCCAGACUCCUACGGGAGGCAGCAGUGGGGAAUAUUGCACAAUGGGCGGAAGCCUGAUGCAGCAACGCCGCGUGCGGGAUGACGGCCUUCGGGUUGUAAACCGCUUUCGCCUGUGACGAAGCGUGAGUGACGGUAAUGGGUAAAGAAGCACCGGCUAACUACGUGCCAGCAGCCGCGGUGAUACGUAGGGUGCGAGCGUUGUCCGGAUUUAUUGGGCGUAAAGGGCUCGUAGGUGGUUGAUCGCGUCGGAAGUGUAAUCUUGGGGCUUAACCCUGAGCGUGCUUUCGAUACGGGUUGACUUGAGGAAGGUAGGGGAGAAUGGAAUUCCUGGUGGAGCGGUGGAAUGCGCAGAUAUCAGGAGGAACACCAGUGGCGAAGGCGGUUCUCUGGGCCUUUCCUGACGCUGAGGAGCGAAAGCGUGGGGAGCGAACAGGCUUAGAUACCCUGGUAGUCCACGCUGUAAACGGUGGGUACUAGGUGUGGGGUCCAUUCCACGGGUUCCGUGCCGUAGCUAACGCUUUAAGUACCCCGCCUGGGGAGUACGGCCGCAAGGCCAAAACUCAAAGGAAUUGACGGGGCCCCGCACAAGCGGCGGAGCAUGCGGAUUAAUUCGAUGCAACGCGUAGAACCUUACCUGGGUUUGACAUGGAUCGGGAGUGCUCAGAGAUGGGUGUGCCUCUUUUGGGGUCGGUUCACAGGUGGUGCAUGCCUGUCGUCAGCUCGUGUCGUGAGAUGUUGGGUUAAGUCCCGCAACGAGCGCAACCCUUGUUCACUGUUGCCAGCACGUUAUGGUGGGGACUCAGUGGAGACCGCCGGGGUCAACUCGGAGGAAGGUGGGGAUGACGUCAAGUCCUCAUGCCCCUUAUGUCCAGGGCUUCACGCAUGCUACAAUGGCUGGUACAGAGAGUGGCGAGCCUGUGAGGGUGAGCGAAUCUCGGAAAGCCGGUCUCAGUUCGGAUUGGGGUCUGCAACUCGACCUCAUGAAGUCGGAGUCGCUAGUAAUCGCAGAUCAGCAACGCUGCGGUGAAUACGUUCCCGGGGCU